CUCAGAUUGGGCUCUUCCUAAGACUGGUUACCCUGCCAGGCCCAAUCCUCCAACCCCAAGGAUGCCAGGGGAAACAGGCACAGUGCCACUGCGUAUCUCUUGGGAGAAAGAAGCCACUCUCCCAGGCAUGGACUUCACAGCCUUCUCUUUAGGCUGAUUGGGCCAGCUUACAACCUGUGUCCACACCGGAGCUACAGCGGUUAAAAGAAACAGGAGAGCCCUCAGUUACGGAAGAAAGCAGACCCGACAGCCGUGAA
This is a long non-coding RNA of Bos taurus (domestic cattle), 257 nucleotides long. NCBI's taxonomy places the organism in Eukaryota, Metazoa, Chordata, Mammalia, Artiodactyla, Bovidae. The record is from Ensembl.